UUCUUUGUAUCCUAUGUUGUUGCUAUAUCUAUGUAUCUAUGUAUAUUAUAGUUUCUAAUGCCUCUUCUGCAUAGUAUCUCAGGACAGCUUUGAAACCACCCUUCAGCAAGCUUAUAAUUAGGACUUCUGCCAUUGGCAAUUGCAGCCUCUGCUGCUGACACCUGGCGGAAUAUUGACACUCCCACAUGCAUGCUGCUUUCCACCUCAUGCAUGCUGCUUUUUCAGUUUAAUGCUGACUGCUGAGAUUGUUGAAAGUUGAAACCACGUGCACACUAAAUAAUAUAUUUAAUUAAGGGAUUUUCUAUGGUGUUCCCAAAGGCAUACAAUAGUCCCUAACUCUAAUAAAAAUAGCUUCUUUUGAUUGGUGGAUGAACAAUAAAUGAUGAUGACCCUCCUGCAUUCACAUCAACUCCACCAAUCAAAAUAAGUCAUUUUUAUAGAAUUUAGUGUUUAUUGUGUGCCCUUGAGCACACAUUAGAAUUAAUUCAUAGUAAAACUUAUGAAAACAGAAGUAAAGCUUCUUUUGUGCUGAGAUGCGAGGCUUUCCGAAGAAGCUACAAAUCAAACGCCAGGUUUUGAGCUUUUAUAGAACAAAAAUGGAUUGAGGGGCUCAUUACGAAAGAAGAAGCAGAAGCUUCACUCGAAGAUAAUGGAAAGUUUCAGGACACCGGGACAUUUGUACUGCGAUUUCCUACAUGAAGAAGCUGGCUCCAUCCAGAUGCCGGUAGUCUUAUAGUCACUUUUAACGGUUCUGAUUAUAGUAUUCACCACAAGCUUCUGUCUUGCGAUUUGAUCUAUAGAUUUGUUUCUCUUCUUUCUAAUAAAACAGGGCAUAUCUGAAACUGAUGCGAGAAUAUCCACUUUCUAAUCUUUAGUUGUCAUUUUCAGACUGUGGAUGUUCACACGGGUGUAGCAAUGUUGAUCUCGAUAAUUUUUACAAAUUCACAAUAAUUGAUAGGUUGCAAACAAGUCAAGUGUGUAUUCCUGGACUUCUCUUCUCAUCUCCAGAUUACAAAAGCCCAUUAACAAUAAAGCUAUACUCCAAUUUACUGGCCAAGAAAAAGGUGCAAAAUUUUUCCCGGAUAGAUAAUGCUUGCUGGUCACAAGCGCAUAUAUAGAACAGUUUUUGGUCACCCUCUUUCUCUCUCUGUCUUUGUGUCCCAGAAAUGAUCGCCACAAUUCCAAGAAGAGGGCUUUCCUUUCGACAAUUUCAUUACUCAAAGUGCCUGAAUUCCAUGGUGUGUUGGGAGAAAUUUGCAAGGUAAUUUGAAGUGGAGCUGAAAGAGGUCAAGUUGAGAGACGGCUACUAUGUGAUGGACCCUUAAAAGGCUGCAGAAAUGGUGGAUGAGAACACCAUUUGUGUUGCAGCUAUUCUAGGAUCCACUCUUAAUGGAGAAUUUGAAAAUGUAAGCUCUUAAAUGACCUCUUGGUUAAGAAAAACGCAGAAACGGGAUGGGAUACACCAAUUCAUGUGGACGCUGCUAGCGGUGGGUUCAUUGCCCCAUUUCUUUACCUGGAACUGGAAUGGGAUUCAGGUUUUCUUCACAACCUUGCUGUUCUCCACAUCUUCCUCAGUUGUCAACUUUUGUGUCACCUUGCUUGGGAGUGUGUCAAGCUCCUCGAGGACCUGCUCGAUAUUUGUAACCAGGCUUUCAGCCGGAUUCCGUGAAAAGUCCUCGCGGAUAACUCCACGAAGCACUGUAAAAUGUUGGGCAUCAGUAGGCAUGGUGUAAGCUAUGAUCCAACCAUAAUGCCUUAACCUGUCUGAGACUACGAAUAGGCUAUGAUUUUUCAGAGAGAAUUCAUUGUAAUUUAUUUUAUUCAUCGUAUGUACCAAGGUCAAAAAUAGUUCAUGCUUUCAAGAAAUUUUUCAAAACAAUAUUUGUUUUAAUGAAGUAAUAUAAUUCUUCU
Molecule: RNA transcript, 1911 nt
Organism: Daucus carota subsp. sativus
Lineage: Eukaryota; Viridiplantae; Streptophyta; Magnoliopsida; Apiales; Apiaceae
Exons: 4
Source: RefSeq, a predicted model, not a curated record